This 536-nucleotide ribosomal RNA is filed under the name uncultured bacterium. RNAcentral's name for it is "bacterial SSU rRNA". It matches the Rfam family "Bacterial small subunit ribosomal RNA", at positions 777 to 1320 of the family's 1533-position model. The record is from RNAcentral.
AAUAGAUACCCCGGUAGUCCACACAGUAAACGAUGAAUACUCGCUGUUUGCGAUAUACAGUAAGCGGCCAAGCGAAAGCAUUAAGUAUUCCACCUGGGGAGUACGCCGGCAACGGUGAAACUCAAAGGAAUUGACGGGGGCCCGCACAAGCGGAGGAACAUGUGGUUUAAUUCGAUGAUACGCGAGGAACCUUACCCGGGCUUGAAUUGCAGAGGAACAUAGUUGAAAGAUUAUGGCCGCAAGGUCUCUGUGAAGGUGCUGCAUGGUUGUCGUCAGCUCGUGCCGUGAGGUGUCGGCUUAAGUGCCAUAACGAGCGCAACCCUUAUCAUUAGUUACUAACAGGUCAUGCUGAGGACUCUAGUGAGACUGCCGUCGUAAGAUGUGAGGAAGGUGGGGAUGACGUCAAAUCAGCACGGCCCUUACGUCCGGGGCUACACACGUGUUACAAUGGGGGGUACAGAGGGCAGCUACCGGGCGACCGGAUGCCAAUCCCAAAAACCUCUCUCAGUUCGGAUCGAAGUCUGCAACCGACUUCG